Peromyscus eremicus (cactus mouse) is the source of this 453-nucleotide long non-coding RNA. RefSeq lists it as uncharacterized. The record is from RefSeq and is a predicted model, not a curated record. NCBI's taxonomy places the organism in Eukaryota, Metazoa, Chordata, Mammalia, Rodentia, Cricetidae. The transcript is spliced from 3 exons.
UUAAGAGGGUGUUAGUAGCUCCACAGUACGAGUAGCAACAAGUAAAAUGCAGCACAACAGCCAGACGUUUAACAGAGAGAACUGUAGUCGGAGAUGGCCAAGCAUACCUCUCUUGGAAUCACAGCCAAGUCUUGUUCAGAAAGACUGCCCUGAGCUGGGCAGCUAUGCAGAAGCAGUCAGAACAGGAUUUGUGGGCGACUUCAAAUCACUCAUACUGCACACAGGGCAGCGUUGCUUUUAGCCAAGCCUCGCCUUACUCUAUAGAAAUUUCAGCUGAGUUGUUUUCCAGAUUCAAGAGUCUGAAAUAGUGAAGCCAGAGUUUAUCAUCAUCCGGGCUGGGCUGAAGGGAAAAGAGCGGUCAGUCUCAGUCUCCAGAGUCUGUUAAGGUCUGAAGGUUAUCUUUUAAAAAAUACUCAAAUGCAAAGCCUGAAUUUCUGUCUCAAUUGGGAGCAG